CAUCGCGAGGUGGAAUCUGAAGGAAGCCGGCGGCAAACAUCUGGCCUAACGCACAGAAACUUCAUAAAAGGCACUUGACCGUGGGUAAGGUUGCGAAACAGACCAAAGCCCGAUAGCUAUUCGGGACGGUGGGUGUAAAUGAAGUAGGCAUAAGAUGGAAAGACA
RNAcentral lists this non-coding RNA (165 nucleotides) under bovine gut metagenome. The record is from RNAcentral.